CCCGCACUAAGGUGAAGAUUUGAUCUUUAUGUUUAAUUAUUCUUAAGUUUUAAUCUUGAGGAUAUGAUAGAUCUAACUUUAUGAGAUGUGAUCUCAAUGAUGCAUGCUAGAUUAGAUAUCUUCCGCUGUGUGAAAAUUUUUUUUGAUCAUGCAUGCGUACCCAUAAUUUUUCCUUCCCUGAAAUCUCAUCCAUUGUAGGAAGCGACCAUUGUUUGUCUCAGUAUGCAUCAGAACUCUAGUAGUCUCCCCCUC
Molecule: long non-coding RNA, 252 nt
Filed under: Elaeis guineensis (African oil palm)
Lineage: Eukaryota; Viridiplantae; Streptophyta; Magnoliopsida; Arecales; Arecaceae
Description: long non-coding RNA (EGUI_LNC045250)
Source: RNAcentral